Molecule: transfer RNA, 21 nt
Filed under: Malcolmia africana
Lineage: Eukaryota; Viridiplantae; Streptophyta; Magnoliopsida; Brassicales; Brassicaceae
Description: partial tRNA-Phe
Source: RNAcentral
UCAAAUCUGGGGCAACCGCCA